AACGCACAUUGCGCCCCUUGGUAUUCCGAGGGGCAUGCCUGUUCGAGCGUCAUUAUGACCACUCAAGCCUAGCUUGGUAUUGGGGUUCGUGGUACACGGCCCUUAAAAUCAGUGGCGGUGCCGUCUGGCUCUAAGCGUGGUAAUUUUUCUCGCUAUAGGGUCUGGUGGUUACUUGCCAAAACCCCUCAACUCUUACGGUUGACCUCGGAUCAGGUAGGGAUACCCGCUGAACUUAA
Molecule: unclassified non-coding RNA, 236 nt
Filed under: uncultured fungus
Lineage: Eukaryota; Fungi
Description: sequence contains ITS2
Rfam family: 5.8S ribosomal RNA (bases 1-52)
Source: RNAcentral